AUGGAGGGGGAUAACUACUGGAAACGGUAGCUAAUACCGCAUAACGUCGCAAGACCAAAGAGGGGGACCUUCGGGCCUCUUGCCAUCGGAUGUGCCCAGAUGGGAUUAGCUAGUAGGUGGGGUAAAGGCUCACCUAGGCGACGAUCCCUAGCUGGUCUGAGAGGAUGACCAGCCACACUGGAACUGAGACACGGUCCAGACUCCUACGGGAGGCAGCAUG
RNAcentral lists this ribosomal RNA (220 nucleotides) under uncultured bacterium. RNAcentral's name for it is "partial 16S ribosomal RNA". It matches the Rfam family "Bacterial small subunit ribosomal RNA", at positions 133 to 353 of the family's 1533-position model. The record is from RNAcentral.